UUACCUAGGUGCGUCUUAUUUCAUUACGUAACCAGAUAUAAUAUUUUAUAAUCAUUUCAUAGUUAGGUAGGUCUGUAAUCCUUAUCUCCUAUGUAAAGACAAUUAUUGCGCGAUGAAAAUAAUAAGUACAACCUACAUUUAGAAACAAAUAUCUCUGUGCAUGACGUUUAGUUUAGCGAUAGUAUGAGUAUACACAAUUUCUUUAGAGAACAUUGCAAUGAAUCUAGCAGAAAGUUAACAAAAUUAGUUAAAGAUAUGGAAACUUUUAAUCGAGAGUUAACUAAAAUAAAGCUGAAGCUAUCUACCCUCGAGAUACAAAUGUCGGCCAUGAAGAUAAUAUACAAGGAUAUCAUGGAACUGAGGAAAUUGGUGAUAGUCUUGCACCCAUAUUUGAAACCUUUAUCAUCUUAAAAAACUAUCGAAUUAUAAUUAUCUACUUCAGGGCGUAUUCGCAUGGACCCUCGGCCGGGAUGCACCUGAGGCCACCCGGAAAGAGCAGCGACCCUGACACUCGUGCGCUGUGACAGUCGAAAGAGCAAUAGUGGGGAACGUAAUUUGAUAAUCGCGUUGCUCUUGGUCGAGCCAAAGUGAUCCAUCGUUGACAGUUGACACGUAGAGGACGUAAUUGGCGCUCUUGUGAUUUGUUAAGGCAUCUGCACACCGACAUAAUAUGCAUUGAUCUUGUAUUUUAUAUUAUUAUCGCAUUAAUUAUCUUAACGACGCGCUUGGGUGAUCUUGAUUAAACUCAAAAUGUUAUUUGUAAAUCACAAUAUUGUUAUUAGUUAGCUAAGUAUCUCAGAAUUGAGAGUUUUUUGAAUUACUUACUUGAAUAAUUUUCUUUCUUUUCAUUUAUCUUUUGAUUACUUUUGACUUCGUUUACUGUAUGAUUUAGAUAUUUAUUCACUUAGUUAUGAGAUUUUGUAAUUAAAUUUAUUUGGUCCAUAUUUUUCAUAUUUUACAAAAAAAUGAGAUACCUAUGAGCUUAUGUAAAAUUACUGACUUUGAUUGAAAGGUUAUCUUUUGCGCCGUCCCAGAAGUGUUCAUAAAUAAAUUGCGUGAUCUCCA
Maniola jurtina (meadow brown) is the source of this 1065-nucleotide long non-coding RNA. RefSeq lists it as uncharacterized. Lineage: Eukaryota; Metazoa; Arthropoda; Insecta; Lepidoptera; Nymphalidae. The transcript is spliced from 2 exons. The record is from RefSeq and is a predicted model, not a curated record.